Molecule: ribosomal RNA, 494 nt
Filed under: uncultured bacterium
Lineage: Bacteria
Description: partial 16S ribosomal RNA
Rfam family: Bacterial small subunit ribosomal RNA
Source: RNAcentral
AUUGAACGCUGGCGGAAUGCUUUACACAUGCAAGUCGAACGGUAGAGGGGCAACCCUUGAGAGUGGCGAACGGGUGAGUAAUGUAUCGGAACAUGCCCAGUCGUGGGGGAUAACGUAGCGAAAGUUACGCUAAUACCGCAUACGAUCUAUGGAUGAAAGCGGGGGAUCGCAAGACCUCGCGCGAUUGGAGUGGCCGAUAUCAGAUUAGGUAGUUGGUGGGGUAAAGGCCUACCAAGCCGACGAUCUGUAGCUGGUCUGAGAGGACGACCAGCCACACUGGGACGGAGACACGGCCCAGACUCCUACGGGAGGCAGCAGUGGGGAAUUUUGGACAAUGGGCGAAAGCCUGAUCCAGCCAUUCCGCGUGCAGGAAGAAGGCCUUCGGGUUGUAAACUGCUUUUGUACGGAACGAAACGCGCUGUGCUAAUACCACGGCGUAAUGACGGUACCGUAAGAAUAAGCACCGGCUAACUACGUGCCAGCCGCCGCGGUAA